RNAcentral lists this ribosomal RNA (310 nucleotides) under uncultured bacterium. Its description in RNAcentral is "partial 16S ribosomal RNA". It matches the Rfam family "Bacterial small subunit ribosomal RNA", at positions 503 to 809 of the family's 1533-position model. The record is from RNAcentral.
AAGAGACAGCAGCCGCCGCGGUAAAACGAAGGGUGCAAGCGUUAAUCGGAAUUACUGGGCGUAAAGCGUGCGUAGGCGGUGAGUUAAGUCUGCUGUGAAAUCCCCGGGCUCAACCUGGGAAUGGCAGUGGAUACUGGCUCGCUAGAGUGUGUCAGAGGAUGGUGGAAUUCCCGGUGUAGCAGUGAAAUGCGUAGAGAUCGGAAGGAACAUCUGUGGCGAAGGCGACUAUCUGGGCCAACACUGACACUGAGGCACGAAAGCGUGGGGAGCAAACAGGAUUAGAUACCCCUGUAGUCCCUGUCUCUUAUAA